Molecule: transfer RNA, 98 nt
Filed under: Ruminococcus sp.
Lineage: Bacteria; Bacillati; Bacillota; Clostridia; Eubacteriales; Oscillospiraceae
Description: tRNA-Leu
Source: RNAcentral
GCCGUUAUAAUGGGAUUUGAUUACUUUUGCUAUGCGGUAAUACUAUAAAAUCCCUCGGAGUAACAUCCGUACCGGUUCAAGUCCGGUCAGCGGCACCA